Molecule: long non-coding RNA, 1007 nt
Organism: Harpia harpyja (harpy eagle)
Lineage: Eukaryota; Metazoa; Chordata; Aves; Accipitriformes; Accipitridae
Exons: 2
Source: RefSeq, a predicted model, not a curated record
GCCAGGCAAUAUUCAGCAAGGUGGACCUUGGGUCCUACUGAACACCCUGUUCUUGUGCAAGAUGUUAAAAAUUUGGACUUCCCUCUGGGGAAGUGGGUUGCAGUUGGCCAAGCCUCUUCUACAGAGACAGGCAAGCCUCAGUGCUGAAUGAAGAAAACCAAACUUUACUAAAAUAAUAAGCUUCAUACAUAAAUGCAUGACAAAAAGAACACCUAUUAUAACAAUGUUUGCUGCACUGGUUCUGAAUGAAAGAUACAGGUAAGAUUUACACCCAGUUUUACCCAGGCUGCACUGACUAAGGAGCAGCUUUCCUGAGAAAUUCAUAGGGGAGGUUUUCAGGAUAUUUUUUUUGUGUCCCCCAGUUGCAUUUUAAUGAGAUCAUUGCCCCUUGGCUGCUAGCAUCUGUAUUCUUCAGCUGCUAUGAGAUCUCAGCAAAGGCCGAUACCAGGCUCAGUUUUGAAAGCGACAGCGAGCUGUUUGGAACAGAUGCCUUUCCGAGCUUCCGGCACAGAAGGUAACGGCCAUGCAUGCUACUUCCACCCUGCAUUUGUUUCCUUUGCUGAGAGAACAUCCUCCCACAAGAGUGUGGAUCAAUAACUCCCUGAGAAUUCAGCCCGGUUGGUGCUUAGGAUCCACCUGAGAUAUUACACAAGAAACUGCUCGAUCUGUUAUGAAAGAAAACUUCAUCUGACAUCUCUGAACAGACAGGAGAACAAUUGUUUCUGGCUAAGAUCAAGUUUUACUGAAGAGUUUAAUCAGACCCGGUAUUGCUGAAACAGAAAGCAGACAGGAGUGACGAGAGCAGGCCAAGGAACAUGCUACACAAAAGAACUUGUUGCAAAUAGGUUUCCUCUGCCCCUCAUCACUCAAACUUUAAAACCAAAGAGCAAAGACAAUCUUUAAUGUUCUCAUUUCUCUCUCUAGUAACCUCAUUAGUGCUUGAAUGAAGAAUGUGAGACACUCUUUGUUGUGGCAUCUGUUCUAGCUGGUUUUAACCAAUGAGUCUA